CACAAUACAAUACAAUCAGCAACCCAACAACAUACAUUUCAAUACCCACAAACAAUUUCCCAAACGCCCCAGCCCACUCUAUUCCCCCUUUCGACCCGGCCCAUUUCCCUUUUCCCCUUCACAAUAGAAGCAGUCCAAAACGCUAACAGAAAAGAAAACCAGCAACGUUUCUUCAAAACGUGACAAAGCAACAGCGUCCAUUCAAACUUCACGGUGCAACAACGAUGACAACA
This 233-nucleotide long non-coding RNA is filed under the name Solanum tuberosum (potato). RNAcentral's name for it is "long non-coding RNA (STUB_LNC008867)". The record is from RNAcentral. Lineage: Eukaryota; Viridiplantae; Streptophyta; Magnoliopsida; Solanales; Solanaceae.